Molecule: ribosomal RNA, 495 nt
Filed under: uncultured bacterium
Lineage: Bacteria
Description: partial 16S ribosomal RNA
Rfam family: Bacterial small subunit ribosomal RNA
Source: RNAcentral
GACGAACGCUGGCGGCGUGCCUAAUACAUGCAAGUAGAACGCUGAAGGAGGAGCUUGCUUCUCUGGAUGAGUUGCGCAAGGGGGAGUAACGCGCAGGGAACCUGCCCGGUAGCGGGGGAGAACAAUUGGAAAAGAUAGCUAAUACCGCAUAACAGUAGUUAACGCAUAAUAUCUACUUUAAAAGUGCAAUUUCAUCACUACCAGAGGGACCCGCGUUGUAUUAGCUAGUUGGUGAGGUAACGGCUCACCAAGGCGACGAUACAUAGCCGACCUGAGAGGGUGAUCGGCCACACUGGGACUGAGACACGGCCCAAACUCCUACGGGAGGCAGCAGUAGGGAAUCUUCGGCAAUGGACGGAAGUCUGACCGAGCAACGCCGCGUGAGUGAAGAAGGUUUUCGGAUCGUAAAGCUCUGUUGUAAGAGAAGAACGAGUGUGAGAGUGGAAAGUUCACACUGUGACGGUAUCUAACCAGAAAGGGACGGCUAACUACGUG